RNAcentral lists this long non-coding RNA (1046 nucleotides) under Pogona vitticeps (central bearded dragon). RNAcentral describes it as "lncRNA (ENSPVIG00000020337.1)". Lineage: Eukaryota; Metazoa; Chordata; Lepidosauria; Squamata; Agamidae. The record is from RNAcentral.
AUUGUUUAUUUCUGAAGAGUUGCUGCUAACUACAGGCUGCAGCAGUGACUCACUCCAGAUGGGAGUAUAUUGCAUUUCUAAUUAAACAGCACAUACAGUACUUCUGUUUUAAAGCUCUUUAAGAUCCGUGCUGGCCAGAAACAUUAGGCUAAUGUGUUAGUUGUGGGGAAGUACAUACUUCUACAGGAUAUGCAUAUAGGUGAUAAAACAAAAGCUGUGGUUUACCAGGACAUUGCAGUUAACAUACCCCAACCCUAAUUUUGAGAAGUAUCUGUUCCCAGGUUUUGAAUUAGAAUCUACAUUAAUUAGAAAAAGACACUGUGACGCCUUCACUACUCUUAAUUCUAUUGUAUGUUCGUCUGAAGGAUUUACAUAAUGUUUUUCAGCUGUGCAGCUUCACAAUUUGUUUAAAAAGUCAAUAUAACAUCACUAACAAUUGAUAUAUAAUAAAACUGUGUAGGCAUCCUUCGUCUCGAGAGACUAUGGUAAUGUGCUCUGAAGAGAGGUCUUGGAACAACGUCUAGUGUGGCUGAGGAGACCGAUUCGAGAGUGACGAUCCCUUCCACACUGAAGACAAAUACGUACAAUCUGUCCACUGUCCAGCUCCCUGAUUUCUUUGUGGCAGAAAUGAAGGCUGGUCAGAAUUCUAACCAUAGUUUCCUGAAAAUAUUCACCCCCUUUGAAAGGCGAUCCAGUCUUCGAUUUCUACUGAAGAAAUGCCAGUUUAGAAAAACCUGUCCAGGCGUCAGGGCCCACAAUCUAUAUAUGCCAACGUUAGAGAACAAAAUGAUACCUGGGGAGACAGACGGAACUUUAUUCACUGCACACUGGCAAUUGCAAUUCCAAUGUGAAGAUCAAAUGCAUCUUACUUAUCUAAAAAGACUAGAAUCCCAAUGGAAUUCAGAACCAAUGUUCAUUGGAGAAAUUGUGAUGCUCUGGAAUGAUAUUUAGCUGAUCACAACAUGGCAGUUUCAUAAGUAUCCUGCAUAUGACUGGGACAAUGCAAAACGGUUUUUUGCGUAUGUGACAUUCCAGUGUUGGAGAGA